This 468-nucleotide ribosomal RNA is filed under the name uncultured bacterium. Its description in RNAcentral is "partial 16S ribosomal RNA". It matches the Rfam family "Bacterial small subunit ribosomal RNA", at positions 28 to 507 of the family's 1533-position model. The record is from RNAcentral.
GACGAACGCUGGCGGCGUGCUUAACACAUGCAAGUCGAACGGAAAGGCCCUGCUUUUGUGGGGUGCUCGAGUGGCGAACGGGUGAGUAACACGUGAGUAACCUGCCCUUGACUUUGGGAUAACUUCAGGAAACUGGGGCUAAUACCGGAUAGGAGCUCCUGCUGCAUGGUGGGGGUUGGAAAGUUUCGGCGGUUGGGGAUGGACUCGCGGCUUAUCAGCUUGUUGGUGGGGUAGUGGCUUACCAAGGCGUUGACGGGUAGCCGGCCUGAGAGGGUGACCGGCCACAUUGGGACUGAGAUACGGCCCAGACUCCUACGGGAGGAAGCAGUGGGGAAUAGUGCACAAUGGGCGGAAGCCUGAUGCAGCAACGCCGCGUGCGGGAUGACGGCCUUCGGGUUGUAAACCGCUUUCGCCUGUGAAGAAGAGUGAGUGACGGUAAUGGGUAAAGAAGCACCGGCUAACUACGUG